UAGAAAAAUUCAGAAACACGCGGUGUACUUCCCUCUAUUUUCUUGCCCAAAUAUUUUGAACAAAAUAUUUCCCAAAUUUUCAGUCUAUACUACCCAUUUCUCCAUUUUCCCCAAUUCUCCAUAUUCCCUAAUUCUCCAUUUCCUCACAUUCUCAUAUUUACCCCAAUUCACCACAAUUACUUUCAAAUUAUGAGAGGAAAAUUACUCAAAAAUUCCGAGGGCUUUGUUUCCGAGGGUGAAACACCACGCACGGUGGCGUUAGGGUUAGGGUUCCACCACAUAACCACUCCAAAACCACCUCUGUUGACGAAUUAGGGUUUCAACGAAGACAAUUGGGCGCAAACGAGGAUUAGGGUUCCGAUUUUUUUUUUCAUUUGGAUAUGAUGUUAGAGUUAGGAAUUUUGGACAAAGUUGAAUUUGAUUUUGGUUGGUAUGGAUUGUGUGAUGAUUGUUGGUGAUUUGUGUGAAAUUUUUAGGGAUUGGAGAAAUGGCGUCAAACGAAGGAUUCUUAACGGAAGAGUGGAGGGAGAGGAUGAAGAUAGCUUCAGAGAAUUCAGUACCGUCUCCUUCGAAUCGCCUAAGGGUUUAUCGUCUUCGCCGAAAUCGACUACAUUCCUCUCUGAUCACCGUGGGAAAGGUGGAGGUGGUGGUGGUAAGGCGCCUUGUGUGAAACCUCGUCAUUCGAGGAAGGUUGUCAAAGUCAAGAAGGAGUCCAGACCCAAGAGUGAGUCGGUGAGAGAAUGGACAAGGAGAAUGGGGUUGAAGAGGCGACAACCUCCAAUUUUGGUGUUAGGUGAGCAAAAUCAACACAAUGAGAACCAAAAGAAUAAUGCUAGAGUUCCAUUCUAUAAGCUUUUCUCAUUUGCGGAUUCUAUUGACAAGGCGUUGAUGAUCAUUGGCUCAAUUGGUGUUGUCGCAAAUGGUGUAUGUAUGCCCUUGAUGGCCAUCAUCAUUGGUGAAUUUGUUGAUUCAUUUGGUGAGAAUCAAAAUACCAAAAAAAUCAUUCAUGUCAUCUCCGAGGUGUCUCUAAAAUUUGUUUACUUGGCCAUAGGAGUUGCAAUUGCUGCAUUUCUUCAGGUGGCUUGCUGGAUGGUAACAGGAGAAAGACAGACAACAAGAUUAAGGAAGUUGUACGUGAAAGCAAUACUUAGACAAGAUAUUGCUUUCUUUGAUAAGGAAACCAACACAGGAGAGGUCAUUGGGAGAAUCCGAGAAUGUCAGGGGAUACAGUUCUCAUACAAGAUGCUAUAGGGGAAAAGGUAACUCAUUAUCGACACUUUUGAUAGUUCUUAGUCUUGAUCAUCUUAUGUGUGUGUGUGUGUGUUUUUUUUUUUUUUUUUUUUUUUUGUUUAUAUAUAUAAGUACUCUUCCAGGUUGGAAAAAUUCUACAAAUUAUAUCGACUUUUAUUGGAGGCUUUAUCAUUGCGUUCAUCAAAGUGUGGAUUCUUACUCUUGUCAUGCUAUCCUCCAUACCUCUUUUGGCAACCAUCAUUACUUAGAUCGAUUUCGUGGAGUCCCCCCCUUUGAGCUAGUUAAACGGGCUAAUUUUGCCGUUGAAGCUCUCCCCAGUGGGAGUUAUGAGAAGGCAAGGCUUCAAUUUGCUGUUGAGACUGUGGUUCCAUUCUCAUGUCUUUUUGGUCCCUUUCUUCAAGGAUCUGGAAAAACCAUUGGAGCUCCCUCCUAUGAAAUUGAAGAAGAUGCUUCAUGAAUUACUUUACGAGAAAUUGGAGCAGCAACAAAAAGAAAUGAUAAUGCGGUCCAAAGAAUUGCCAAAAAUAUUGUUUGGCGGACAAAAUGAUUUAGUUUUAACUUUUAGUUGUUUUGUUUCUUAGUUUAACUAGUGAUAAUUUAAUUUUGUAAUUUUCCUUAUAGGUAACA
Molecule: RNA transcript, 1878 nt
Organism: Chenopodium quinoa (quinoa)
Lineage: Eukaryota; Viridiplantae; Streptophyta; Magnoliopsida; Caryophyllales; Amaranthaceae
Gene name: ABC transporter B family member 11-like
Exons: 6
Source: RefSeq, a predicted model, not a curated record